Molecule: non-coding RNA, 2617 nt
Filed under: Pan troglodytes (chimpanzee)
Lineage: Eukaryota; Metazoa; Chordata; Mammalia; Primates; Hominidae
Source: RNAcentral
CGCGGGGGCGCCCCCCUCGGCCGGGCGCUCGGGUUUCAGCCGCCGCUCCCCCGCGCCCCGCCCGCGCCUGGCCCGCUCGCCGGCGCCGGGAGAGACCUCGUAACGGAACUGGGACGCCAGCGCUGCAUUGUGGGAGCUUUUAAAGCGGCGGGGAGCUCGGCGCGACCCUCGGGCCCACCGGGCCACGCUCGCCCGGCCCGCGACGCCCCCCCGCUGUCGCCUGGCCCGCGACGCACCGAGGCCUGAGGACCCGAAAGCCGGGCGCGGGGAGAUGACCGGUGGCUCGUGACGGUCCCACGGGCAAAAUCUUCCAUCGCCCGGGGCUGAGACUUGUCAAACUGCCCUCUACGGUCACCCGGAAAGUAGGAGGCUUUUUCUGCAGAGGGAAAAAAAUCAAAAAGAGCCGUUCCAUCCCCCCUCCAAGGACUGGGUUUGAAUUGCUUUUCAUCUGCAGUGGCUGUGAUUCAGCGUCCCUCUUAGCAGCAGGCACUGACAGAGGCAGGAGAGGAAAAAAGAAAGAAAGAAAGAGAAAACACAGCAAAUGAAUCAAACGGACGUAGCAGGCAAGAGUGUGGUUAUCGUUGGACCAGGAUUCAGGAUCUGACCGAGUAGCUGACUCUUAAUCCAGUUUGUGUUGAUCACCAGGAGGAUCUGGACCUCAGUGUUAUCACAUCUAAAGCUAUAAUCACAUCCCUGUUAAGCCUUCCUGAGAUCACACCAAAUGUCCUUGAUGGGAAUUGUAAACAACCCUUACUUCUGGUUUCUAAUGAUAUUCCAGGAAAGGAGCCUAACUAGAGUCAGUGAUAUGCCAACUCCACCUUUGCCUUCCACCAUGUUUGGAAGCUCCCUGAGGCCUCACCAGGAGCAGAUGCUCGUCCCAUGCUUCCUAUAAGCCUGCAGAACUGGAAAAGAAAGCUGGAUAAAGUAUUUAUAGAAGAUAGAGGACCUGUGGUGGCUCAUGCCUGUAAUCCAAGGUGGAAGGAUUGCUUGAGGCCAGAAGUUCAAGACCAGUCCAAGCAACAUAGCAAGGCCCCAUCUCUACAAAAAAAUGAAAAUAAAAUUAGCCGAGCGUGAUGGCUCAUGCCUGUAGUUCUAGCUUCCAGAGAGGCUGAGGCAGGAGGAUUGCUUGAGUCCAGGAGUUCAAGAUUACAAUGAGCUAUGGUCACACCACUGCACUCCAGCCUGGGUGAUGGAGUGAGACUGUCUCAAUAAAAAGACAAAAAGGCUGGCCAGGGGCAGUGGCUCAUGCCUAUAAACCCAGCACUUUGGGAGGCAAAGGCAGGAGGAUUGCUUAAGCCCAGGAAUUUGAGAUCAGCCUGGACAACAUGGUCAAGGAAGCUUUUCCUGAUCCACUAAGGACAAUCAAACCCUUCAUGAUCUAGAAUCUGGAGACUGUGUCUUCUGGGAAUAGUAUCAGAGAAAGACUGCCCUUACUGCCCACAUGUAGCAAAACUUUGAGACGUUGAAUUAUGGGUCCAUAAUCUCACAACUCAGAGGGGCACCUCUAGACUCUUGGAACUGCAUAUCUAUUGGAGACUUUAAGGUAAAGCUGAACAGAGACGUUUUUCUCCAGAAGCAGACAGCACCAUAGUCAUGGACAGCUUUCCCAAGAUCACAGAUCAAGACUUCUGUGCCGUCAUGAGACUCAUACCUCUUAAUUUUUUCUUGCUUAUGCUUCUGUGAACAAUAGAAUUGGAAAAGGGGUGGUCCCGCGUGCACCCAUAGGGUAUACUUUUAUUUGUGGAGGAUUUUGCUGCCAACCUUAUACAUGGGCAAACUUAUGGCUUCAUGGAUGGAAGAUAAAGGGCUAAUAUGGGUUAGAAAUUUUAAUGGUACCUUUGUUUCUCCAUAAUCAUUCAGAAACAGAACACUGGUCCACUCUUGUUAACCUACAUCAUAGGUUGAAGAGAACAUUGCCAGGAGGUCUUCAUCCUUCCAGAUGGGCACCAUUUGUUGGGUCUUUUUCCAUGGUAUGAAGAAAAUGAAGCAAUGAUUAGAAAUUGGUCCCUCGGCCGGGCACAAUGGCUCAUGCCUGUAAUCCCAUCACUUUGGCAGGCCGACGCGGGUGGAUCACCUGAGGUCAGGAGUUUGAGACCAGCCUGACCAAUGUGGUGAAACCCCAUCUCUACUAAAAAUACAAAAAUUAGCUGGGUGUGAUGGUGCACACCUGUAAUCCAGCUACUCGGGAGGCUGAGACAGGAGAAUUGCUUGAACCUGGGAGGCAGAGGUUGCAGUGAGCCAAGAUCACCCCACUGCAUUCCAGGUUGGGCAACAGAGCAAGACUCUGUCUCAAAAAAAAAAGAAGAAAGAAAGAAAUUGAUCCCUCAUAAUAGGCUGUAUAGCAGAUUCUACUGCAAAGGCUAUGGUUGCACAACAGCCUUCUUUGAAUUUGCUUGCUAAACUUUUACUGGAUAAUAGAAUUGCCUCCAAAAGUGCUGGGAUUACAGGUGUGAGCCACUGUGCCCAGCCUCUCCUGUUUAAUUGUAUUCAUUCUAAUGUUUACUUACUUCUUUAAUUUGUAAAAUUGGGUCACUUAGAGUUUUUUAGCCUAUCUUACCAUUUAGCCACUAUUACUGAUAAUUUGGAUGGAAAAGAAAAAUAAAUUAUAUCACCUCUC